Mesocricetus auratus (golden hamster) is the source of this 918-nucleotide long non-coding RNA. RefSeq lists it as uncharacterized. The transcript is spliced from 2 exons. The record is from RefSeq and is a predicted model, not a curated record. Lineage: Eukaryota; Metazoa; Chordata; Mammalia; Rodentia; Cricetidae.
ACUGGGGACAGAGGAAUCCCAAGUGCUGGGCUUCCCCACCCAGACCUCACAGCUGGGGACUUUGUCUGACCCCGUGCUGCAGGACAAAUCACAGAUCGCUGUUUGUCCAGGUGUCUCUUAGCAGCAUAAGGCCAACUGCUCCUCAGGUCAGGAUGAUACCUAAGAGCUAGAAAUUUCCACAUAAAAUAAAGGCAGCAAUUAAAAUGAAUGUUCAAGGAAACAGGUGCUGUUGUAGUCCUGGUGAGUGCAUGGGGCCGCCGUGGACACCUGCAUGGGAGGUGACUGGAGUUUUCACAGCUCUGGUCAAGCCCUUUGGACACACUGUGUCAUGCGUGACUCCAUGCAGGAAGGACUCUCUACCCUCCUCUGCUUUCACUUUCUACUUCAGAUCUUUGUCCCAGUGGGGAAGGGGUCAACUGUGCUGAGACGAUGACCCAGGUCCACACAGACAAUCUCAGGACUAUGGAGAGAAGAUCCGUGUAAGACACAACCACCUGGAGCCACAGACGGUCAUCUGGGAAGAAACACUAGGAAUCUGAGUGUAAGCACAAGGCUGUGAAGACUGGAUCCUGAGUGAUGAGCAAAGUCUAUUUAAAAGGGAGGUUCCAGAGCACCAGGCUUGGCAGUGUGAGCGCCCCCUGCAGGUGGACACAGGAGCCUGGUGUCUGUGGGAAUCUGUGUGGUGCUUGCAGGCCAGGGCCUCUACUUUAGAGAGAAAUCAUCUCUCCCCUGUAUCCCGACACUAGUGUUGUUGCCAUUGUGUUCCCGGAAGUGACUUUUCUUCUGGAAGAUCCGGAGUCUAGCUUGUGAAGAGAAGGAAGAGGAAGGGUGAGGAGAGAAUGAAAUGUUCUGGGCUGUGGGUGUCUCCUGGUGAUUUUGUUUUUGUUUCUGUUUUUGAGACAAGGUCUGUCUCCUCCA